GCAAGUCGAACGGUAACAGGCCUAGCUUGCUAGGUGCUGACGAGUGGCGGACGGGUGAGUAACGCGUGGGAAUCUACCUUGUAGUGGGGGAUAACCUGGGGAAACCCAGGCUAAUACCGCAUAAGUCUUAAGAGAGAAAGCUGGGGACCUUCGGGCCUGGUGCUACAAGAUGAGCCCGCGUCAGAUUAGCUUGUUGGUGGGGUAAAAGCCUACCAAGGCCAAGAUCUGUAGCUGUUCUGAGAGGAAGAUC
RNAcentral lists this ribosomal RNA (250 nucleotides) under uncultured bacterium. RNAcentral describes it as "partial 16S ribosomal RNA". It matches the Rfam family "Bacterial small subunit ribosomal RNA", at positions 57 to 305 of the family's 1533-position model. The record is from RNAcentral.